This 150-nucleotide ribosomal RNA is filed under the name uncultured archaeon. RNAcentral's name for it is "partial 16S ribosomal RNA". It matches the Rfam family "Archaeal small subunit ribosomal RNA", at positions 322 to 473 of the family's 1478-position model. The record is from RNAcentral.
CCUACGGGGCGCAGCAGGCGCGAAAACUUCGCAAUGUGCGCAAGCACGACGAGGUUACUCUGAGUGUCACCCGUUGAGGGUGACUUUUACUAGGCGUAAAUAAUCUAGGGAAUAAGGGGAGGGCAAGUCUGGUGUCAGCCGCCGCGGUAA